RNAcentral lists this long non-coding RNA (380 nucleotides) under Gossypium raimondii (Peruvian cotton). RNAcentral describes it as "long non-coding RNA (GRAI_LNC007850)". Lineage: Eukaryota; Viridiplantae; Streptophyta; Magnoliopsida; Malvales; Malvaceae. The record is from RNAcentral.
GUUGCCCACCACCAGCUUCAGAGCUUUUGUAGUUGAUGGUUGUGGUAAUUUUGGAGCCCUUCCUAAGUGCAUGGCCAGCAUCACCUCCCUUCGACAAUUAAGAGUGUACAACUGUUCGGCUGACAUAUCAUUUCCAUCAGAGGGAUUCCCUGCCAAUCUCACAUCACUUGCAAUAUCAAACGCACCCAAGAUUUACAGGUCACUUAUGGAAUGGGGAUUAAAUAGACUCACCUUUCUUCAACAAUUGACCAUCGGAGGUGGAGGAUGCUCAAACGUGGUGUCGUUCCCAGAAGAAGGGACUGGAAUGAUGCUGCCUCCUUCUCUCACCCGUAUCUUCCUUUUAGAAUUUGAGAACCUGGAAUACAUGUCAUCCAAGGGCU